RNAcentral lists this ribosomal RNA (492 nucleotides) under uncultured bacterium. RNAcentral's name for it is "partial 16S ribosomal RNA". It matches the Rfam family "Bacterial small subunit ribosomal RNA", at positions 29 to 507 of the family's 1533-position model. The record is from RNAcentral.
AGUGAACGCUGGCGGUAGGCCUAACACAUGCAAGUCGAACGGCAGCACAGUAAGAGCUUGCUCUUACGGGUGGCGAGUGGCGGACGGGUGAGGAAUACAUCGGAAUCUACUUUUUCGUGGGGGAUAACGUAGGGAAACUUACGCUAAUAUCGCAUACGACCUACGGGUGAAAGCAGGGGAUCUUCGGACCUUGCGCGAUUGAAUGAGCCGAUGUCGGAUUAGCUAGUUGGCGGGGUAAAGGCCCACCAAGGCGACGAUCCGUAGCUGGUCUGAGAGGAUGGUCAGCCACACUGGAACUGAGACACGGUCCAGACUCCUACGGGAGGCAGCAGUGGGGAAUAUUGGACAAUGGGCGCAAGCCUGAUCCAGCCAGACCGCGUGGGUGAAGAAGGCCUUCGGGUUGUAAAGACCUUUUGUUGGGAAAGAAAAGCAGCAGGUUAAGACCCCGCUGUUCUGACGGUACCCAAAGAAUAAGCACCGGCUAACUUCGUG